Molecule: ribosomal RNA, 492 nt
Filed under: uncultured bacterium
Lineage: Bacteria
Description: partial 16S ribosomal RNA
Rfam family: Bacterial small subunit ribosomal RNA
Source: RNAcentral
AGUGAACGCUGGCGGUAGGCCUAACACAUGCAAGUCGAACGGCAGCACAGUAAGAGCUUGCUCUUACGGGUGGCGAGUGGCGGACGGGUGAGGAAUACAUCGGAAUCUACUUUUUCGUGGGGGAUAACGUAGGGAAACUUACGCUAAUACCGCAUACGACCUACGGGUGAAAGCAGGGGAUCUUCGGACCUUGCGCGAUUGACUGAGCCGAUGUCGGAUUAGCUAGUUGGCGGGGUAAAGGCCCACCAAGGCGACGAUCCGUAGCUGGUCUGAGAGGACGAUCAGCCACACUGGAACUGAGACACGGUCCAGACUCCUACGGGAGGCAGCAGUGGGGAAUAUUGGACAAUGGGCGAAAGCCUGAUCCAGCCAUACCGCGUGGGUGAAGAAGGCCUUCGGGUUGUAAAGCCCUUUUGUUGGGAAAGAAAAGCAGCAGGUUAAUACCCCGCUGUUCUGACGGUACCCAAAGAAUAAGCACCGGCUAACUUCGUG